This 29-nucleotide non-coding RNA is filed under the name Rattus norvegicus (Norway rat). The record is from RNAcentral. Lineage: Eukaryota; Metazoa; Chordata; Mammalia; Rodentia; Muridae.
ACCCUCAGUGUGAAGAGACUAGCCUCUGC